Long non-coding RNA from Arachis duranensis, 377 nucleotides. RefSeq lists it as uncharacterized. The transcript is spliced from 3 exons. Lineage: Eukaryota; Viridiplantae; Streptophyta; Magnoliopsida; Fabales; Fabaceae. The record is from RefSeq and is a predicted model, not a curated record.
UCGUUGCUCCUCUGCUCCUCUAUUUCUCCAUCACGAACAGAGUAGCUAAGUGAAACAAUUAUGGUUUAACUUUUGUAUUUGUGUCUUUAUGCAUCCGACCUGUUCCACGAAAUGCUUCAUCCAUCUAAGAAAAUCAAGUUGCUGAAUCGAGCUUUGCGAGAAAAUGAAAGUCUAGUUCUCCAUGGUGAAGCUCUAAAGCACUCUUGUGGAUCUUCAUGGCUGCUCAAUUUCUAGGGUUCUUCAUCAUCAAUGUGCCUAUAUCAUUGGUUACAUUGCUUUGCUACUAUGACUCAUCUAUGCACUUGUCACCAUGUGUUAUGGAGAGAUGUUUGACUUCAUAGAAAAGCAAGUUGAAGAUAGAAAUUAAAGGAAAUCAG